This 253-nucleotide ribosomal RNA is filed under the name uncultured bacterium. Its description in RNAcentral is "partial 16S ribosomal RNA". It matches the Rfam family "Bacterial small subunit ribosomal RNA", at positions 524 to 776 of the family's 1533-position model. The record is from RNAcentral.
UACGUAGGGUGCGAGCGUUGUCCGGAAUUAUUGGGCGUAAAGGGCUCGUAGGCGGUUUGUCGCGUCGGCUGUGAAAACCCGGGGCUCAACCCCGGGCCUGCAGUCGAUACGGGCAGACUAGAGUGUGGUAGGGGAGACUGGAAUUCCUGGUGUAGCGGUGAAAUGCGCAGAUAUCAGGAGGAACACCGGUGGCGAAGGCGGGUCUCUGGGCCAUAACUGACGCUGAGGAGCGAAAGCGUGGGGAGCGAACAGG